AAACGCUGCAGGGUCCCUGAGGACUAACUGGAAAGUUCCCUCUUUACCUCCUCCGUUCUUUUCUGUCCCCUCUGUCUCCCUGUGUCUCAGGUUCAGUCUUUGAUGUCCACUGUCCCCUCUGUCCCCUUGUGUCUCAGGGUCAGUCUCUGAUGUCCACUGUCCCCUCUGUCCCCUUGUGUCUCAGGGUCAGUCUCUGAUGUCUACUGUCCCCUCUGUCCCCUUUUGUCUCAGGGUCAGUCUCUGAUGUCUACUGUCCCCUCUGUCCCCUUGUGUCUCAGGUUCGGUCUCUGUCUUCUUGUGUCUCAGGGUCAGUCUCUGAUGUCCACUGUCCCCUCUGUCCCCUUUUGUCUCAGGGUCAGUCUCUGAUGUCUACUGUCCCCUCUGUCCCCUUUUGUCUCAGGGUCGGUCUCUGAUGUCCACUGUCCCCUCUGUCUUCUUGUGUCUCAGGUUCGGUCUCUGAUGUCCACUGUCCCCUCUGUCCCCCUGUGUCUCAGGUUCGGUCUCUGAUGUCCACUGUCCCCUCUGUCUCCUUGUGUCUCAGGGUCAGUCUCUGAUGUCUACUGUCCCCUCUGUCUCCUUGUGUCUCAGGUUCGGUCUCUGAUGUCCACUGUCCCCUCUGUCUCCUUGUGUCUCAGGU
Molecule: long non-coding RNA, 637 nt
Organism: Fundulus heteroclitus (mummichog)
Lineage: Eukaryota; Metazoa; Chordata; Actinopteri; Cyprinodontiformes; Fundulidae
Exons: 3
Source: RefSeq, a predicted model, not a curated record